This 604-nucleotide ribosomal RNA is filed under the name Gypsophila silenoides. RNAcentral's name for it is "eukaryotic LSU rRNA". The stretch from base 239 to 393 matches the Rfam family "5.8S ribosomal RNA". The record is from RNAcentral. Lineage: Eukaryota; Viridiplantae; Streptophyta; Magnoliopsida; Caryophyllales; Caryophyllaceae.
GUAGGUGAACCUGCGGAAGGAUCAUUGUCGAAACCUGCACAGCAGAACGACCCGUGAACGUGUUUACCAAUGGUACCUUGUGUGCCAUCGUGUCCYUUGCCUAAGCAAGGGAGCGCUCACUUGUGGGGUGCUUCUUGCUACAUAAACGAACCCCGGCGCUAGAAGCGUCAAGGAACAAAGUAACCAAUCCUUGCUCGGUUAGCCGUGCGUGGGGAGGUGCCAUGUCUUAACAAUAAACGACUCUCGGCAACGGAUAUCUCGGCUCUCGCAUCGAUGAAGAACGUAGCGAAAUGCGAUACUUGGUGUGAAUUGCAGAAUCCCGUGAACCAUCGAGUUUUUGAACGCAAGUUGCGCCCGAAGCCUAUGGUUGAGGGCACGUCUGCCUGGGCGUCACGCAUCGCGUCUCCCCCACAGAGUGGAAGGAAGAUGGCUUCCCGUGCCUCACUAGGUGCGGUUGGCCUAAAAUUGGAGCCCGCGGCACUAAGCUAUCGCGGCGAUAGGUGGUGAACAAGGCCAAGGCCGUGCAAACAACCCGCCGCGUUUGGAGCUCGUUGGACCCUUUGACGUUGCCUCAAACCAAUGCGACCCCAGGUCAGGCGGGGCU